RNAcentral lists this ribosomal RNA (425 nucleotides) under uncultured Oscillospiraceae bacterium. Its description in RNAcentral is "bacterial SSU rRNA". It matches the Rfam family "Bacterial small subunit ribosomal RNA", at positions 355 to 794 of the family's 1533-position model. Lineage: Bacteria; Bacillati; Bacillota; Clostridia; Eubacteriales; Oscillospiraceae. The record is from RNAcentral.
UGGGGAAUAUUGGGCAAUGGGCGAAAGCCUGACCCAGCAACGCCGCGUGAAGGAAGAAGGUCUUCGGAUUGUAAACUUCUUUUAUGAGGGACGAAGGACGUGACGGUACCUCAUGAAUAAGCCACGGCUAACUACGUGCCAGCAGCCGCGGUAAUACGUAGGUGGCAAGCGUUAUCCGGAUUUACUGGGUGUAAAGGGCGUGUAGGCGGGAAGAUAAGUCAGGCGUGAAAACCAGAGGCUCAACCUCUGGCCUGCGUUUGAAACUGUUUUUCUUGAGUACUGGAGAGGUUGGCGGAAUUCCUAGUGUAACGGUGAAAUGCGUAGAUAUUAGGAGGAACACCAGUGGCGAAGGCGGCCAACUGGACAGCAACUGACGCUGAGGCGCGAAAGCGUGGGGAGCAAACAGGAUUAGAUACCCUGGUAGU